CAGGACGAACGCUGGCGGCACGCUUAACACAUGCAAGUCGAACGGAGAUAAGGAGCUUGCUUCUUAUCUUAGUGGCGGACGGGUGAGUAACACGUGAGCAACCUACCUUCAAGCGGGGAAUAAUGGAGGGAAACUUCCACUAAUACCCCAUAAGAUAGUAUUUCCGCAUGGAGAAGCUAUCAAAGAUUUAUUGUUUGAAGAUGGGCUCGCGUCCGAUUAGCCAGUUGGUGAGGUAACGGCCCACCAAAGCGACGAUCGGUAGCCGUACUGAGAGGUAGAACGGCCACAUUGGGACUGAGACACGGCCCAGACUCCUACGGGAGGCAGCAGUGGGGAAUAUUGCACAAUGGAGGGAAAAACCUCUGAUGCAGCGAUGCCGCGUGAGGGAAGAAGGUUUUCGGAUUGUAAACCUCUGUAGUACGGGACGAAAAAAUGACGGUACCGUACAAGAAAGCUCCGGCUAACUACGUGCCAGCCGCCGC
RNAcentral lists this ribosomal RNA (482 nucleotides) under uncultured bacterium. RNAcentral describes it as "bacterial SSU rRNA". It matches the Rfam family "Bacterial small subunit ribosomal RNA", at positions 25 to 518 of the family's 1533-position model. The record is from RNAcentral.